GUCUACUGCCAUGCCACCCUGAACACGCCCGAUCUCGUCUGAUCACGGAAGCAAAGUAGGGUUGGGCCUGGUUAGUACUUGGAUGGAAGACCACCUAGAAAAACUGAGUGCUAUAGGCG
Molecule: ribosomal RNA, 119 nt
Filed under: Pteropus alecto (black flying fox)
Lineage: Eukaryota; Metazoa; Chordata; Mammalia; Chiroptera; Pteropodidae
Source: RNAcentral